Molecule: unclassified non-coding RNA, 249 nt
Filed under: Hevea brasiliensis (rubber tree)
Lineage: Eukaryota; Viridiplantae; Streptophyta; Magnoliopsida; Malpighiales; Euphorbiaceae
Source: RNAcentral
AUUGAAUAGUAUAAACUAGAAUAAAUUUAUUUCUAGGUUAAAGAAAUGAAUGGAUGGCUUCUUUAAAUUUUCUUUACAUUAUUUUCUUAUUCCAUUGAAACCUUGUGUAAACAAAUGGCACCUGGAUAUAUUCUGCAGUAGAAGAACUCAUCAUAAUAAGAUGAUAUCGAAGUAUAAAUCAAGAAAAAGUAUUGGGGUUUGAGGUCCCUUCCAAUCAAAAUAGGAGGGCUAUUGAGGACAUGAAUUUUA